RNAcentral lists this ribosomal RNA (401 nucleotides) under Vibrio rumoiensis. RNAcentral's name for it is "bacterial SSU rRNA". It matches the Rfam family "Bacterial small subunit ribosomal RNA", at positions 975 to 1375 of the family's 1533-position model. Lineage: Bacteria; Pseudomonadati; Pseudomonadota; Gammaproteobacteria; Vibrionales; Vibrionaceae. The record is from RNAcentral.
CUACUCUUGACAUCCAGAGAACUUUCCAGAGAUGGAUUGGUGCCUUCGGGAACUCUGAGACAGGUGCUGCAUGGCUGUCGUCAGCUCGUGUUGUGAAAUGUUGGGUUAAGUCCCGCAACGAGCGCAACCCUUAUCCUUGUUUGCCAGCGAGUAAUGUCGGGAACUCCAGGGAGACUGCCGGUGAUAAACCGGAGGAAGGUGGGGACGACGUCAAGUCAUCAUGGCCCUUACGAGUAGGGCUACACACGUGCUACAAUGGCGCAUACAGAGGGCAGCAAGCUAGCGAUAGUGAGCGAAUCCCAAAAAGUGCGUCGUAGUCCGGAUUGGAGUCUGCAACUCGACUCCAUGAAGUCGGAAUCGCUAGUAAUCGUGGAUCAGAAUGCCACGGUGAAUACGUUCCC